AGAGUUUGAUCAUGGCUCAGAUUGAACGCUGGCGGCAUGCCUUACACAUGCAAGUCGAGCGGCAGCGCGGGGGCAACCCUGGCGGCGAGCGGCGGACGGGUGAGUAAUACAUCGGAACGUGUCCUUUCGUGGGGGAUAACCAGUCGAAAGACUGGCUAAUACCGCAUGAGAUCUCACGAUGAAAGCGGGGGACCGCAAGGCCUCGCGCGAUUGGAGCGGCCGAUGUCGGAUUAGCUAGUUGGCGGGGUAAAAGCCCACCAAGGCGACGAUCCGUAGCUGGUUUGAGAGAACGACCAGCCACACUGGGACUGAGACACGGCCCAGACUCCUACGGGAGGCAGCAGUGGGGAAUUUUGGACAAUGGGCGCAAGCCUGAUCCAGCCAUGCCGCGUGUGUGAAGAAGGCCUUCGGGUUGUAAAGCACUUUCGGCCGGAACGAAAUCGCCUUUGUUAAUAGCGAAGGUGGAUGACGGUACCGGAAGAAGAAGCACCGGCUAACUACGUGCCAGCAGCCGCGGUAAUACGUAGGGUGCGAGCGUUAAUCGGAAUUACUGGGCGUAAAGGGUGCGCAGGCGGCCCCGCAAGUCAGGCGUGAAAUCCCCGGGCUUAACCUGGGAAUGGCGCUUGAAACUACGGGGCUGGAGUAUGGCA
RNAcentral lists this ribosomal RNA (650 nucleotides) under uncultured bacterium. RNAcentral describes it as "bacterial SSU rRNA". It matches the Rfam family "Bacterial small subunit ribosomal RNA", at positions 8 to 653 of the family's 1533-position model. The record is from RNAcentral.